This is a long non-coding RNA of Sitophilus oryzae (rice weevil), 608 nucleotides long. RefSeq lists it as uncharacterized. The transcript has 3 exons. The record is from RefSeq and is a predicted model, not a curated record. NCBI's taxonomy places the organism in Eukaryota, Metazoa, Arthropoda, Insecta, Coleoptera, Curculionidae.
AUUCUUUUUACAUUUCUACAACACAUAAAUUUCGGAACGCUCUCUAUCGAAAAUAUUGGAUCGUACCCUGGUGUAUCGACAAGACGGGAAACGUCAAAAUCGCCACCUCGGAUUUGGCCGUUACCGAGGUCACUGUGCCAUUUUGAGAAUUAAAUUUAUUUGGCUGGUAUUUUUCACAAUAUGGGAAAAAUAUUGUGAUUUUGUUAUCCUAUAGAUGGUUGAAGGUCCCAUAUAGCUUUUGAUUAUUGAGAUUUUAGUGGAUCUAUAGUUUUGAUUCCAGUUUUUUGAUGAGAAGUGUCCAGCCCUUAUUUGAGAAGAAAUGUUAAAUAAUUAUUGAUUGUGUGCCUUCACAAUGAGGUUUUUCUACAGAUUUUUCUACGUAUUUUUCUCAACGUUUUUCUUUGGAUUUUUCUUCAAGUAUUUCUAGACAUUUCUCUAGACGUUUUUCUGCAAGUUGUUCUGCAUAUUUUUCAGAAGUUUGUGCCAAGUUUUUCCACAAGUUUUUCUUCGAGAUUUUCAAUCACCGAGUUAAUCAGUAGCAGCCUGUUCGGUUAGAUUUCAGCCCUGCACCCCUCUGAGAAGAAAUUGGAUGCUGUGAUGUUUUUUUA